AUGGCGGCACCUCUUCUUUGCUUCGCCGUCGUGGCGGCGGCGGCUUUCGCCGGCGCGUCGGGGCAGGAGCUCACGUCGGAUUACUACGACGAGGCGUGCCCGCAGGCGCUGUCGGCAAUCAAGCUCGUCGUCGGCGCGGCCAUCGUCAAGGAGCCCCGGAUGGGCGCCUCGCUCGUCCGGCUGCACUUCCACGACUGCUUCGUCAACGGCUGCGACGGCUCCAUUCUGCUGGACGACACCGAGGACAUGGUCGGGGAGAAGACGUCCCAGGCCAACAACAUGUCGGUGAGAGGGUUCGGCGUGAUCGACGCCAUCAAGACCGCCGUCAACACGGCGUGCCUGGGUAAUGUCGUCUCCUGCGCCGACAUCCUCGCCGUCGCCGCUCGCGACUCCAUUGUUGCACUCGGGGGAAGCUCGUACGACGUGCUCCUGGGCCGGCGGGACGCGACGACGGCGAGCAUGGACGACGCGGACAACAGCAUCCCGAACCCGUUCAUGGACCAGCCGGAGCUGCUCGCCAACUUCCAAUCCCAGGGCCUGUCGCUCCGGGACCUGGUGGUGCUCUCGGGCGCCCACACGCUGGGCUACUCCCGCUGCGUCUUCUACCGCGACCGCCUGUACAACGAGACCGGCAGCCUCGACCCGACCUACGCGGCGGCGCUGGACGAGCGGUGCCCGCCCGCCGGCGACGACGAGGCGCUGGCGUCGCUGGACGACACGCCGACGACCGUGGACACGGACUACUACCAGGGCAUCACGCAGGGCCGCGCGCUGCUGCACACGGACCAGCAGCUGUACCUGGGCGACGGGGGCGACAGCGACGCGCUGGUGCAGUACUACGCCGAGAGCCCUGACAAGUUCUGGGAGGACUUCGGCGCGGCGAUGCUCAAGCUGGGCGGCCUCAGCCCGCUCACCGGCGAGGACGGCGAGGUCAGGGAGGACUGCCGGGUCGUGAACCGGGGGUGA
This 966-nucleotide ribosomal RNA is filed under the name Triticum aestivum (bread wheat). RNAcentral describes it as "partial small subunit ribosomal RNA". The record is from RNAcentral. Lineage: Eukaryota; Viridiplantae; Streptophyta; Magnoliopsida; Poales; Poaceae.